GUUUAUCGUGAUAGUGCGACGCGAUCUAUCAUCUUCUUCCAGAGCUCCGGAUCUGCAACCGAGUAGUGCGACGCAAAGGCAACUGGCGGCGACGAUCGGCGUCUUCGCCGCCGGCGCCACCCUGAUUGCGGCUGGCAUCACCAAGUCGGCGAAGUAGGGUUCUGUAGUGUUCCAGAAAUAUUCUCAUGGGUUCGUGACCAGAAGUUCUCUGUUCAACGAAGGUAAAUCUGCGAGGAAGGGAGCGAAGGAAGAAGAGAGAGGUCAGUCGAAUCGAACGUGUGCCUUGAGAUUUUGCGUUAAAAUCUCCGCCUCCGGCUUCUCCUCCCCUGUAUCGGAUCGUUUGCGGUUCUGGGUUGGUCUCGGCUUCGGCUCCCCUCAUCUGGGUUCAGGUGCUCGACCGGCGUUCGGUCUUCGGUCCGGGUGAUGGAAGUGCCAUCCUUUGUUGAAAGUCCUGUUCUUACCUUGCUGGCAUUUGCUUUUCUCUUUUCCCUCUUUGUUGCGUGAUGAAUGAAAUUAAAAGGUGUGUGAUUGUAUCGAGAGUUUUCUCAGUUCAAUUUUUUGUGUACUUCUUGUUGUUCUAGCAGCUGAUCUUCGCUUUGCUAGUGGGACUUAAGCUAGCACCACCUUGUGGUGUGAUUUUAAGGCAA
This is a long non-coding RNA of Syzygium oleosum, 647 nucleotides long. RefSeq lists it as uncharacterized. The transcript is spliced from 2 exons. The record is from RefSeq and is a predicted model, not a curated record. NCBI's taxonomy places the organism in Eukaryota, Viridiplantae, Streptophyta, Magnoliopsida, Myrtales, Myrtaceae.